This 305-nucleotide long non-coding RNA is filed under the name Trifolium pratense (red clover). RNAcentral's name for it is "long non-coding RNA (TPRA_LNC009236)". Lineage: Eukaryota; Viridiplantae; Streptophyta; Magnoliopsida; Fabales; Fabaceae. The record is from RNAcentral.
UUCUCCGUACAUGUUUUUUUUUGUGUGUGUGUGAAAUUACUAAAAUUUUUUAAUUUGGUUUUUGAGAGAAAAAAUUGAUGUAAUGAAUUGAAUAUUCGAAUUUGGAAGGAAAAGAGAAGAAGGUAUUUAUAGGAGUGAAGGUUCAUGAACUUAGAAAAUGGAUUUUGAAAAUUAUUCAAAUCUAUGUAACAAAAACGGUUUCGGGUUUAAAUUUAAUUAAUUUUGUAAGGAUAUUGGUCUUUGUGCUUAGCUUCUUGGAAGGUUCUUAUGUGUAAAUUGUGAGAGGAUAAGUGGUUGAGUUUUAU